UUUGCAUGAUGAAUGAGUAAUGAAACUCUUCAAAUUAUUGGGAAAAACUUGUGAAUUAAGGGGGAUGUGUAUCUAUUAUGUGUUAAAAAGGAUUGCAUGCUGAUUUCUAGUGAAAGUUGAAAGCUAUGAACAAAUCUUUAGGGCAUGCUAUGACUGUGACAUGAAAAUCCAGGGACUGUGCAUGACUUUGUAACACGUGAUUGAUAUAAUAAUAGCAUCGAAAUUGCCUCAAAUCACCACCAUUAGAAAUGUCUCUGAGUCUAUUUUAAUCUUCAUGUUUGGGUCCAAUUGAAAUUCUGAAUCAUUUGAAAGUUAUACUUCAUUUUAUGGACCUAUAUCACUGUUGACAGACUGUGUAAAUUUUAAGAAAUGUGAUUCUAGUUACACUGAGGUUUUGUUUGACCAAAUGAAGUCUAAAUAACUCAUAACUACAACCAUUUGAAAGAUACAUGACUUUAACAUGAGUUUCAUGUUUUAACCUUAUCCAAAUUCUGUAUAAUUUAAGAGUUGUGUUUGAAAGUAUGGGGAUAUGUCAUUGUUGACAGAUUGCAGAAAACUUACAAUUUUUAUUCCUGUUUUCAUAAGUUUAAAAUGAUUGAAUGAAGUUAAAUUUCCUUCAAACCACUGUCAUUUGAAAGGUUUAUGUGUUCUUUUGAAUUCACACGUUGAAAGUAUUUUGAAAUUAUUUGAAAAUCAAGAUUUAUACAUCAAAUUAUGAGAAUACGUCACUGAUGACCAAACUCGGCAAUUUCUAGAAAUAUUGCUUCUGUUUCCUUAAGCUGUUGAUGGACCAAAUGGAGUCCAAAUGCUCUCAAAUUACUAUCACAUGAAAGCCAAGAAUGUUAACUUGAAAGUUUGUUUUUGAAUUAUAUUGAAAUUCCGUAUAAAAUUGAUGUUUAUAUCCCUUUUUAUAAAACAUACCCCAAUAUGACAUUUCAGAAUCUCAAGAUUCUAUAUUAACCCUAAAGUGGUCAUGCUCAAUUAAGCUUCAUACGUUUUUGCGAUUGAGGGAGGCCCAUACCCACUCUGAAA
Molecule: long non-coding RNA, 1032 nt
Filed under: Amborella trichopoda
Lineage: Eukaryota; Viridiplantae; Streptophyta; Magnoliopsida; Amborellales; Amborellaceae
Description: long non-coding RNA (ATRI_LNC001477)
Source: RNAcentral